GAGAAGAGAGUAUAAGUGAAGAAGAAGUUGAUGAUGGAGGAGUAGAUUCAAAUGAUUCUGAGGAAAGCGACGACGCUGUGAUCUACUACUCCGAUGAUUCUGAUGUCGAUGAUAUGAAUCGCCAUGUCUGGACCAGUAUUACAAGGAGCUGGAUGAGAGCGAGGGUUUUGAUUUCUCUGUCCACCCGGGUACUUCUUUUCAUGCUCCAAUUUCACAGCUACGGAGUUACUUGAAGAAUCCAGAGAAAAAAAAGAGAUACACUGACCUCUGCAACAUGGCUAUUGGAUUGUUCAAUUCAUUGAAUGCUAAAAAGUAUGAGUUCGUGGAUAUUGUGAGGGUAAACAUAUCAUAUGCUGCGGGAGCUUGGUAUUAUGUCGCCUUUAAAGCCUGUGGUACUGACACUGACGAUGCUGAUGCUAUUAAGAUAUUUAAAGCAUUGGUGUGGAGCGGAAUUGAUGAAACCAGCAAGGUGGAAUUUUGCAGGCUUAAGAAAUCCU
Molecule: long non-coding RNA, 497 nt
Organism: Nicotiana tabacum (common tobacco)
Lineage: Eukaryota; Viridiplantae; Streptophyta; Magnoliopsida; Solanales; Solanaceae
Source: RefSeq, a predicted model, not a curated record